UACGAAGGUCCCAAGCGUUAUCCGGAUUUAUUGGGUUUAAAGGGUGCGUAGGCGGACUAUUAAGUCAGUGGUGAAAGCCCCAAGCUUAACUUGGGAACUGCCAUUGAUACUGAUGGUCUUGAGUACAUUUGAGGUGGGCGGAAUGUGUCAUGUAGCGGUGAAAUGCUUAGAUAUGACACAGAACACCGAUUGCGAAGGCAGCUCACUAAACUGUAAACUGACGCUGAGGCACGAAAGCGUGGGGAGCAAACAGG
RNAcentral lists this ribosomal RNA (254 nucleotides) under uncultured bacterium. Its description in RNAcentral is "partial 16S ribosomal RNA". It matches the Rfam family "Bacterial small subunit ribosomal RNA", at positions 524 to 776 of the family's 1533-position model. The record is from RNAcentral.